GCAUAUCAAUAAGCGGAGGAAAAGAAACCAACAGGGAUUGCCCUAGUAACGGCGAGUGAAGCGGCAACAGCUCAAAUUUGAAAUCUGGCUCUCGGGCCCGAGUUGUAAUUUGUAGAGGAUGCUUUUGAUGCGGUGCCUUCCGAGUUCCCUGGAACGGGACGCCAUAGAGGGUGAGAGCCCCGUCUGGUUGGAUGCCAAAUCUCUGUAAAGCUCCUUCGACGAGUCGAGUAGUUUGGGAAUGCUGCUCUAAAUGGGAGGUAUAUGUCUUCUAAAGCUAAAUACCGGCCAGAGACCGAUAGCGCACAAGUAGAGUGAUCGAAAGAUGAAAAGCACUUUGAAAAGAGAGUUAAAAAGUACGUGAAAUUGUUGAAAGGGAAGCGUUUAUGACCAGACUUGGGCUUGGUUAAUCAUCUGGGGUUCUCCCCAGUGCACUUUUCCAGUCCAGGCCAGCAUCAGUUUUCGCCGGGGGAUAAAGGCUUCGGGAAUGUGGCUCUCUCCGGGGAGUGUUAUAGCCCGUUGCGUAAUACCCUGGCGGGGACUGAGGUUCGCGCAUCUGCAAGGAUGCUGGCGUAAUGGUCAUCAACGACCCGUCUUGAAACACGGACCAAGGAGUCGUCUUCGUAUGCGAGUGUUCGGGUGUCAAACCCCUACGCGUAAUGAAAGUGAACGCAGGUGAGAGCUUCGGCGCAUCAUCGACCGAUCCUGAUGUUCUCGGAUGGAUUUGAGUAAGAGCAUACGGGGCCGGACCCGAAAGAAGGUGAACUAUGCCUGUGUAGGGUGAAGCCAGAGGAAACUCUGGUGGAGGCUCGCAGCGGUUCUGACGUGCAAAUCGAUCGUCAAACAUGGGCAUGGGGGCGAAAGACUAAUCGAACCUUCUAGUAGCUGGUUUCCGCCGAAG
RNAcentral lists this ribosomal RNA (898 nucleotides) under Fusarium incarnatum. RNAcentral describes it as "LSU rRNA". It matches the Rfam family "Eukaryotic large subunit ribosomal RNA", at positions 38 to 966 of the family's 3401-position model. Lineage: Eukaryota; Fungi; Ascomycota; Sordariomycetes; Hypocreales; Nectriaceae. The record is from RNAcentral.